GACGAACGCUGGCGGCGUGCUUAACACAUGCAAGUCGAACGGAAAGGCCCUACUUUUGUCGGGUGCUCGAGUGGCGAACGGGUGAGUAACACGUGAGUAACCUGCCCUUGACUUUGGGAUAACUUCAGGAGACUGGGGCUAAUACCGGAUAGGAGCUCCUGCUGCAUGGUGGGGGUUGGAAAGUUUCGGCGGUUGGGGAUGGACUCGCGGCUUAUCAGCUUGUUGGUGGGGUAGUGGCUUACCAAGGCUUUGACGGGUAGCCGGCCUGAGAGGGUGACCGGCCACAUUGGGACUGAGAUACGGCCCAGACUCCUACGGGAGGCAGCAGUGGGGAAUAUUGCACAAUGGGCGGAAGCCUGAUGCAGCAACGCCGCGUGCGGGAUGACGGCCUUCGGGUUGUAAACCGCUUUCGCCUGUGACGAAGCGUGAGUGACGGUAAUGGGUAAAGAAGCACCGGCUAACUACGUG
RNAcentral lists this ribosomal RNA (468 nucleotides) under uncultured bacterium. RNAcentral describes it as "partial 16S ribosomal RNA". It matches the Rfam family "Bacterial small subunit ribosomal RNA", at positions 28 to 507 of the family's 1533-position model. The record is from RNAcentral.